AUUGAACGCUGGCGGCGUGCCUAAUACAUGCAAGUCGAGCGGAAAGGCCCUUCGGGGUACUCGAGCGGCGGACGGGUGAGUAACGCGUAAGAAUGUACCCCAAAGUGAGGAAUAACUGCUCGAAAGAGUAGCUAAUGCCGCAUGUGCUCUUCGGAGGAAAGCUUUAUGCGCUUUGGGAACAGCUUGCGUCUGAUUAGCUAGUUGGUAAGGUAACGGCUUACCAAGGCGACGAUCAGUAGCUGGUCUGAGAGGAUGAUCAGCCACACUGGGACUGAGACACGGCCCAGACUCCUACGGGAGGCAGCAGUAGGGAGUUUUCCACAAUGGACGAGAGUCUGAUGGAGCAACGCCGCGUGCUGGAUGAGGGCCUUCGGGUCGUAAACAGCUUUUGUCUGUGACGAAUAUGACGGUAGCAGACGAAUAAGGAUCGGCUAACUACGUGCCAGCCGCCGCCGUAA
Molecule: ribosomal RNA, 458 nt
Filed under: uncultured bacterium
Lineage: Bacteria
Description: partial 16S ribosomal RNA
Rfam family: Bacterial small subunit ribosomal RNA
Source: RNAcentral